AUCUGCCUUCAGGUCGGGGACAACAGAGGGAAACUUCUGCUAAUCCCGGAUGAGCCUUAGGGUAAAAGAUUAAUUGCCUGGAGAUGAGCUCGCGUCUGAUUAGCUAGUUGGUAAGGUAAAGGCUUACCAAGGCAACGAUCAGUAGCUGGUCUGAGAGGAUGAGCAGCCACACUGGGACUGAGACACGGCCCAGACUCCUACGGGAGGCAGCAGUGGGGAAUUUUCCGCAAUGGGCGAAAGCCUGACGGAGCAAGACCGCGUGGGGGAGGAAGGCUUUAGGGUUGUAAACCCCUUUUCUUUGGGAAGAAGUUCUGACGGUACCAAAGGAAUCAGCCUCGGCUAACUCCGUGCCAGCAGCCGCGGUAAUACGGAGGAGGCAAGCGUUAUCCGGAAUGAUUGGGCGUAAAGCGUCCGCAGGUGGCAAUGUAAGUCUGCUGUCAAAACCCAGGGCUCAACUCUGGUCAGGCAGUGGAAACUACAUAGCUAGAGUUCGGUAGGGGCAAAGGGAAUUCCCGGUGUAGCGGUGAAAUGCGUAGAGAUCGGGAAGAACAUCGGUGGCGAAAGCGCUUUGCUAGACCGAAACUGACACUCAGGGACGAAAGCUAGGGGAGCGAAUGGG
Molecule: ribosomal RNA, 619 nt
Filed under: Tychonema bornetii GSP176-3
Lineage: Bacteria; Bacillati; Cyanobacteriota; Cyanophyceae; Oscillatoriales; Microcoleaceae
Description: bacterial SSU rRNA
Rfam family: Bacterial small subunit ribosomal RNA
Source: RNAcentral